UCGGAAGCUGAAGGCAGCUAAGGCAGCUUUUGAUGCAAGCAUUGAUGAUGGCAUAACCUUCUUUGAUAUAGCUGAAGUCUACGGUGCAGCAGUAUGAAAGCAUUUUCUAUUCUUCUUUCUCCUAGAGCUUACCUGAUGACAUGAAUAAAUAUUUGAAUGAAAACUUAUGCAUUUUUCCUUUCUGUAGUUCAUGGGAGCAGUGAAUUUACAAACUUUACUUGAAAGGCACCUGACCUGAUAAUUCUCUCCUUUGAUUUCAUUUCUUUUUAGGUUGUUUUCCACUUCUGUGUUUUGAGAUAUUUGGAAUUCCAAUGCUAUCAUUGGCACUUUCUGCUUGACUGUUGCUAAAUUGGCAUUAAAUAACAGCUUCAUCAAGGAAAGGCAACAAAAAGAAUCAGUUGAGGUAGCUGCGGCAACAAAACUUGCAGCUCUGCCUUGGAGGUUCGGUCGGGGGAGUGUCCUUUCUUCUCUCAAAUAUUCACUUUCUCGUCUUGGGCUUUCUGCAGUUGACCUCUACCAGCUUCAUUGGUCUGCUUGUCAAGCCUCUUCCUGCUGCUAUUCCUUGAAAAUUAUCCGACUACAGUGGAUACAUUGAUGGACUUGGAGAUGCUGUUGAACAGGGCCCCGUAAAGGCUGUUGGAGUCUCAAACUACAGCAUCCAGAAAAGCAUCUUCGAGAUGCUUAUAAUCAACUCAGAAAGAGGGGAAUUCCACGAGCUUCAAACCAAGUAAAUUACAGUCUCAUAUACAGGAAUCCUGAGGAAAAUGGUGUGAAGGCUGAUUGUGAUGAGCUGGGGAUCACUUUAAUUCCAUAUUCUCCUAUUGCUCAAGGCAUGAUUCAUAUAUUUGGAGUUUCUUAUAUUGCACACCUUAUUUUACAAUAUUAUAAACCAGUUGAACUUAUUUCAUUGGCUUUGACGCCUAUCUUGAAGUAGGCCGUGCAUGAAAUGUAUGCAGGGCUCGAAAAUGGAGGAGAUUAUAUCUUUGAAGGGAGUAGUGAGGAGAUUAUAGUAUGAUUCAUGUUUCAUGAAGAAGCUAUAUACUGUUUUUUGAGAAAAAAAGGAAAUAACUUGCCAAGGAAAAAUAUUCCGACACUUGGGCAUGAAGUUACCAAAUAUUACUAACUUUCAUGCAGGUGUCAAGCAGUAGUCCAAUCCCUAUCACUUAACAUGAAUCGGAACCUUAGUGCAGCACUAUGUAAAAGAUGAUAGAGUUUAUUUAUGCAAGGCCGAAACAAGACUUAUAGUUUUCCCACAUCCUGCAGGCUAAAGUAAAACUUCAUACAGUCGUCUGCUUCUCAUCAGAAAUGAAAAGCGUCUGUUAGCAGGACAGGUAUUUCUUCUUCUUCUUCUUCUUCUUCUUUUCACAGGUAGCUCUGAACUGGUUGACAUGUCAGGAGAAUGUUGUGCCCAUCCCUGGAGCCAAAAAUGAGGAACAGGCUAAGGAGUUUGUUGUUGCUCUUGGGUGGAGGCUCACAGAUCAAGAGGUUGCGCAGCUUCACUCGCUAGCAUCUAAAUCCAGACAAGCUGUUGGAUUACCUCUUGAUAAAUUGUAAUUUGACAGUUAUAAGAACAUGGUAUGAUUCCAGAAAACCAUAUGAAAUAUCUUGUCCUGUGCAUCAUUGCUUAUGUAUCACUCCAAUGAAACAACCAUGACAUGAAAUAAUAGAUUCCAAAAAUUGCAUAAAUUUACAAAU
Molecule: non-coding RNA, 1695 nt
Organism: Phoenix dactylifera (date palm)
Lineage: Eukaryota; Viridiplantae; Streptophyta; Magnoliopsida; Arecales; Arecaceae
Source: RefSeq, a predicted model, not a curated record